Molecule: long non-coding RNA, 2820 nt
Organism: Conger conger (European conger)
Lineage: Eukaryota; Metazoa; Chordata; Actinopteri; Anguilliformes; Congridae
Exons: 4
Source: RefSeq, a predicted model, not a curated record
GUGGAUAGACUGAGAAUGUGUUUUAUAUGCUAAUGUUGCACUGUAGAAAAUAGUCUUUGUGAUGUAGUUCAGUGGCUCUCAAACUCAGUCAUGGGCGAACCCCUGGUUUUCACAUAAAAAUUGGUUAUACAUUUUUAACUGAUAAAAAAGACUGAGGCAAAUCAGUGGGCUCCUAAUUAAGCUGUUGAACACGCAUUCUACUAGAUUAUUAUUAGGAGCCUAUUGAUUCAAGUCUUUCAUUUGAUCUGUAAAAAAAAUGUUUUCCCUGUCUUUAUGUAAUCAUUUGGAAUAUAGCGUAAAUAUUGGAUUUGUAUUAUUCAUGUUCAUGGAUACUGUAACUAUUUAUGAGAUAUUAUUUUGAUUAUGAGGUUAAAUAAUCCUUCUAAACAUGAGGAACAUGAACAUGAGAAAUGAACACAGCUUGAUAAAAUGUUAGAAUUGCAAUUGUGGUUGAAAUGAAAACUAGCAUACACAGGGGUGCCCAAGAAUUGAGUCUGAGAAUCAAUGAUGUAGUUGUAUUGUACAGUUUAAACGAUUUGAAUUUACAUUGCAUGAACAGUCAACAGUCAAAGAAAUAUUGGUAACUGAACCUUCAUCAAUGUGUAGAAAGAUAAUGUUGUUUUGUCAAUAAGGUUUCAAAGUCCAUGAGUAAGUAUACUACAGUAUUCGCUGAAUUUGUUCAGUCCAUUUGCGAAACAGCUGAAAAUGAAAUGUGCAUGCUCCUUCAGAUUGCAAUCACUUGAAAAAAAAAAAUCAUACAACCUGUUCAAAUAUACUGUGUAAUGAAUAACAAUAAUGAUUCUGCAUAAUUUGUGAUUUAAUUCGAAGUGGCUGUGUAUUCUGCAACCAUUUGCAAUUAUAUGUAUUUGGAUAAUGUCCUAGUUACCUAAUGCCAUUUUAUCAUUCUUUAGCCAAGUUUGUUGUUUAUUACAGCAAACACUGUCAGCAUAAUAAUUAAACUGACUUGUUCAACUUGUUUUUGAGUUAAGUACGGGGCGUACCAGUUCAAAGGAGAAUCAACACCUGUUUAAAUGAAGUCGGUUUUAAAGACAAAUUAAAACCACAGGACUGUUGGACUAAACGCAGGUGUACAUUUGUAUCUGAUAAGACUACUAAGUGUUAUUGAUGCUUAAUGCAUAACUGAACAUUUCCAUUUAUAUUAAUAUUUCAUUUUGUUAAUAUGUUUAUUAUAUGUUAAUAUUAUCAUGACAUUUCUCUGUGGUGUGAUCCCGGUUAAGACCUGUGCUAUCAGUGCAUGAACAGUCGAUACUGAAUGCCUGGAAUCUCACAGUAAUGUAAUGAGGUGAAAUGAUAUAGGGCUCACAAGUAUACCAUUGUAUGUCAUGUGUGGGUGUAUGUAUGUAUGCUUUGGUUUUGUGUUGUAGAUCACUUUAAAAUGUAUGUUACUCAUUGUGAGAUUAUUCAGUUCAGAAGUUAUUUUUCUUUGAUUCUCAGUUCAAGGCAAGUGUUAUGUUGGCAAGUUCAGAGUUCACCGGAAUUAAUGAUGAAAGAAAAGCAAAUGUUGUAAUGGGUCUAUUAAACGGUCAAUAACUAACAUACUGUAUUUUACCAGUAUUUUACCAUGGGCCUAACACAAGUAAAAUCAGUAACAUACUGUAUCAUGUUUGGUAGUGGGUUUAAUAAAUGUAACAUAACUAAUAUUGUAAGUAAUAUCUUUCAGCGGGAAAUCCACGGGAGCCGGUGUUAACCAUACUUGACAAUCCAGGCCAGCCGAGUGUUUGCUUGGCCACGGGGUUCUUCCCUCAAAAAAAAGGCCCCAUGGAUCUGAUGCCUGAGGGGGGCCCGAAACAAAGGCUUUCCACUGACCUGGCCGCACUGUCCUCGGACAAAAAAUACGUCUAUGUGGGAUUAUCCAACAGUGAAAAAUCCUUGGAAAACUGCAGCAUGGCUGGCAGUAAAGCCGAAAAAGAAGCCCCCAUGCCGGAACCUGAAGCUACCGUACCUGUAAUCAGCACAAUAAAGGAGGAUCAGUGUAAUAUAACUGCUGCUGAUCUUAAAAGAAACAGCACCAAAAAUAAUGAUUCUCCGAAGGUGAACUUCAUGUCUCUGGUAGUAACUUGCUUGAGGAUAGUGUUUGCUAAAACUGUGGCUUUCAACGUGUUGAUAACCCUGAAGGCUGUGGUGUUCUAAUGAUUCCAGGGAACGAGAGACCGAGCUGGCGAGCUCUGUGAAGCAGAAACUGAAAUGUCUGAAAUGACUGCUUAUCCGUAUCAUUUCAUAACUUUUCUUCAGUGCAAUGCAUUCCUGUAUGUAAACCUAUGCUAUGCUUACGGUAUGCUGUAUCUGCGUUUGUGUUAUAUCUGGGAGUAACAGUCCAGUACAUCUAAAGAGGAGUGAUUGAAAUAUGUUCUUAAUAUUUAAAUGCCCCACGUAUACAAUUUUGUGUAUUAACUUAGUUUAGUGUCCUCCCUUUUGCAAAAAUAUUUGUCAAAUUAGAAAAUAAAUAAGUAAUAUAUAUAUAUACAAAUUGCUGAAACUUUACAAUAAUUAUGCAAUGCAUGCUGUUUGUAUUGCUGUUGAUUGCCCAUUGUCUGUACUGGACCGUUUUAGAAUAUCUGAGACAUGAUAUGAAAGCCUUUAUACAUAUUUUAUGCUUCAGUGUAUAGUAUUUACACAAAAUGAUAAGCAGUUUCUGAUUAAAAUGACCAUGAUUAGCCUGAUGCAUGAUUUAAAUGUUGUAGUUAUAAUGCAAUCUAUAUAAUUAUAUGUUGAAUGGCUUCAUUGUAUUAUUAUUAUUUGCAUUUCUUAGCCUGUCCAGAAUAUAUUAAUAUGUGUUACAAUAAAGCAAAUGUCAUUUUA